GCCCACCUUGGCCUCCCAAAGUGCUGGGAUUACAGGCAUGAGCCACUGCGCCCGGCCAAUACCUAAUAUUUUUAAGGGCCCAAUAUGUUCUGUGCA
RNAcentral lists this microRNA precursor (96 nucleotides) under Chlorocebus sabaeus (green monkey). RNAcentral describes it as "miRNA (ENSCSAG00000019918.1)". Lineage: Eukaryota; Metazoa; Chordata; Mammalia; Primates; Cercopithecidae. The record is from RNAcentral.